AUGACUUUUCCCCUCACAUUUUCUGCCCUUUUUCUUCCAUUUUCUGCCCUUUUCCUCUCACAUUUCCUGUUUUUUUCCCCUCAUCUUUUCUUCCAUUUUCCCCUCCCAUUUCCCUUUCCCCCUCACGUUUCCCGCCAUUUUCUCCCCUCACAUUUCCCACCAUUUUCCCCUCACAUCACCCAGUACUUUCUCCCUCACAUUUUCUGCCCCUUUUUUCCCUUUUUCUUCCCUUUUCCUCUCACAUUUCCUAUUUUUUUCCCUCAUGUUUUCUUCCUUUUUUCCCUUUUCCUUCCCUUUUCUCCCCUCACGUUUCCCACCCUUUUGUCCCCUCACGUUUCCCGCCAUUUUCUCCCCUCACAUUUCCCUCCUUUUCCCCCUCACAUUUCUCAUGACUUUCCCCCUCACAUUUUCUGCCCUUUUUCUUCCUUUUUCUGCACUUUUCCUCUCACAUUUCCUGGCUUUUUUUCCUCAUGUUUUCUUCUUUUUUUUUCCCUUUUCCUUCCCUUUUCUCCCCUCACGUUUCCCUCCAUUUCCCCCUCACAUUUCCUAUUACUUUUACCCCAACAUUUUCUGCCCUUUUUCUUCCAUUUUCUGCCCUUUUUCUUCCAUUUUCUGCCCUUUCCCUCUCACAUUUCCUGUUUUUUUUUCCCUCACCUUUUCUUCCCUUUUCCCCCCCUCACAUUUUCUUCCUUUUCCCCUCACGUUUCCCUUUUCCCCUCACGUUUCCCGCCCUUUUCUCCCCUCACGUUUCCCUCCAUUUUCCCCUCACAUUUCGCACCAUUUUCCCCUCACAUUUCUCAUGACUUUUCCCCUCACAUUUUCUGUCCUUUUCCUCCCUUUUUCUGCCCUUUUCCUCUCACAUUUCCUGGCUCUUUUUCCCUCAUGUUUUCUUCCUUUUUUCCCCUUUUCCUUCCCUUUUCUCCCCUCACAUUUCCCGCCAUUUUCUCCCCUCACGUUUCCCGCCAUUUUCUCCCCUCACAUUUCCCUCCAUUUUCCCCUCACAUUUCCCAUUACUUUUCCCCCAACAUUUUCUGCCCUUUUUCUUCCAUUUUCUGCCCUUUUUCUUCCUUUUUCUGCCCUUUUCCUCUCACAUUUCCUGGCUUUUUUCCCUCAUUAUUUCUUCCCUUUCCCCCCCUCACAUUUUCUUCCCUUUUCCCCUCACAUUUCCUUUACCCCUCACGUUUCCCGCCAUUUUCUCCCCUCACGUUUCCCUCCAUUUUCCCCUCACAUCUCCCAGUACUUUCCCCCUCACAUUUUCUGCCCUUUUUCUUCCAUUUUCUGCCCUUUUCCUCUCACAUUUCCUGGCUUUUUUCCCUCAUCUUUUCUUCCCUUUCUCCCCCUCAUCUUUUCUUCCCUUUUCCCUUCACAUUUCCCUUUUCCCCUCACGUUUCCCGCCCUUUUCUCCCCUCACUUUCCCUCCAUUUUCCCCUCACAUUUCCCAUUACUUUUCCCCCAACAUUUUCUGCCCUUUUUCUUCCAUUUUCUGCCCUUUUUCUUCCAUUUUCUGCCCUUUCCCUCUCACAUUUCCUGGGUUUUUUUCCCUCAUGUUUUCUUCCUUUUUUCCCUUUUCCUUCCCUUUUCUCCCCUCACAUUUCUUCUUUUUCCCCCCUCACAUUUCUUCCCCUUUUUUCCCCUCACAUUUCCCACCAUUUUCCCCUCACUUUUCCCACUUUUUUCUCCCUCACAUUUCCCCCUCUUUUCUCCCCUCAAAUGCAUGGUCGG
RNAcentral lists this long non-coding RNA (1722 nucleotides) under Taeniopygia guttata (zebra finch). RNAcentral describes it as "lncRNA (ENSTGUG00000028580.1)". Lineage: Eukaryota; Metazoa; Chordata; Aves; Passeriformes; Estrildidae. The record is from RNAcentral.